CAGCAGCCGCGGGAAUACGUAGGGUGCGAGCGUUAAUCGGAAUUACUGGGCGUAAAGCGUGCGCAGGCGGUUAUAUAAGACAGAUGUGAAAUCCCCGGGCUCAACCUGGGACCUGCAUUUGUGACUGUAUAGCUAGAGUACGGUAGAGGGGGAUGGAAUUCCGCGUGUAGCAGUGAAAUGCGUAGAUAUGCGGAGGAACACCGAUGGCGAAGGCAAUCCCCUGGACCUGUACUGACGCUCAUGCACGAAAGCGUGGGGAGCAAACAGGAUUAGAGACCCGCGUAGUCCCUGUCUCUUAUAC
This 301-nucleotide ribosomal RNA is filed under the name uncultured bacterium. RNAcentral describes it as "partial 16S ribosomal RNA". It matches the Rfam family "Bacterial small subunit ribosomal RNA", at positions 509 to 807 of the family's 1533-position model. The record is from RNAcentral.